GCGGUCGUAGUUCAAUGGUAGAAUGUCAGCUUGUGGCGCUGAAGACGAGGGUUCGAUUCCCUCCCUCCGCU
This 71-nucleotide transfer RNA is filed under the name Nanobdellota archaeon. RNAcentral's name for it is "tRNA-His". It matches the Rfam family "tRNA". From Rfam's summary of the family: Transfer RNA (tRNA) molecules are approximately 80 nucleotides in length. Their secondary structure includes four short double-helical elements and three loops (D, anti-codon, and T loops). Lineage: Archaea; Nanobdellati; Nanobdellota. The record is from RNAcentral.